GGCCUAAAAACGGGAGGGGAGCUUUCWUUUUUUUUUUUUAAUUAUUUUUCUUUAUUAGCCAUUUGCAGACUUUCCCACCAGUAGGGACGAGCAGCCUGUCGGAGCCGGGCGGCCGAUUUGCUCACUUGAGUGAGGAGCGGCGGCCGCAGGGCGUCUUCUGGCAGGAGCCGACSAUGCCGGAGUCCGCGUAGCAGAAACCUAAACAGAGCUCGACGCUCCAGCCCUCGCCCCUGGAAAAGGCAGCGGGCGCCGAAUCCGGCGGCUGGGGAUGCCGGGGAGCCGGCAGCGGACGGACUUUUAGGCACGGAAAUGCCGCUCCUGUGCGAGCGGCGACAGCUGAGCGGCAGCUGCCGGGGCCGGAUUGUCCCGCGGGGCCGCCGCUGGAGCAGGCG
This 392-nucleotide long non-coding RNA is filed under the name Apteryx rowi (Okarito brown kiwi). RNAcentral's name for it is "lncRNA (ENSARWG00000012245.1)". The record is from RNAcentral. Lineage: Eukaryota; Metazoa; Chordata; Aves; Apterygiformes; Apterygidae.